RNAcentral lists this small RNA (99 nucleotides) under Escherichia coli. Its description in RNAcentral is "partial RtT sRNA". It matches the Rfam family "RtT RNA", at positions 1 to 97 of the family's 130-position model. From Rfam's summary of the family: This family represents a bacterial cis-regulatory element known as RtT RNA. The exact function of RtT is unknown although it is thought that it may be involved in changing the cellular response in relation to amino acid starvation. The record is from RNAcentral. Lineage: Bacteria; Pseudomonadati; Pseudomonadota; Gammaproteobacteria; Enterobacterales; Enterobacteriaceae.
GUUUGCACUCAUCGGGGAAGGGUGAGAACCUUCGACUAAGGUUCGAUUCGAGCGAAAGCGAGAGAACGUUGCCACAGGCAACGGCCCGAAGAGUGAGGA